AGCCCGGCUCAGGGGGCAGCCCGGCUCCUGAGGCAGCCCGGCUCCUUAGGCAGCUCGGCUCUGGGAGCAGCUCGGCUCCGGGGGCAGCCCGGCUCCGGGAGCAGCCCGGCUCCUGGAGCUCCCCAGCCAGCCUGAACUGCUGCGGUGUGCGGCCGGCAGCCCCAGAGCUGCUCCGUUCAGGGGUAACCCUGUCCAGGGACACCGCGCCCCGUACAGUAGGAUGGGGCUGCUCCAGCCUGCUCAGCCCCUGACCCGCACAUCCUCCCUCCUUCCGCUCACCCGCCGUGUUUAUCCCUGCCGCAGGCGGGAUCAGACACGGGAUGCCCACUGAGGGAUGCGAAGAAGGUGAAACGUUUGAUACUUUCCUGAAGCACAGCUAUCCAAGCAGGUUGCACCUGUUCUUAAGGACAGCACCCAUGGAUGAAGGCAGAGCAGGCACAAAGCCAGCAUUUGACAGCAGAAUGAUCUUCAAGCACCUACAUGGCUUGGGCAGAGCUCUUGCCACCCUGGCUCCACUCUUUCCACACCCAGGCCUGGGCAAGAUUGAAACUGUGAACGAGAAGCUGGCCAGCACAGAGCCCAAAACACAAUCUCAGAAGAGUCUGUGCCAAUUUAUUAAUUGUCUGUAGAGUGGGACCUGGCAGAAGGAAGCACAGCCUGCCUUCAUGGAGGGACACAUGUUUGGGACUGCAGCAGUGAGGGGUAAAGCUCACCCUGCAUGUGCCUUCACUGACUGCACUGCUUUGUGCUCCAACUAAGUCAUGGCUGGCCCAGGCAAGUGGCUGGGACAGCAAGGCUGCACUGGUUGAUAUUAGCUCUGCUUGAGGCUGAGAGGCUGCAUCUGGUUUGGAUCUCUCUGACUGCUGCUGUGCUCUGUGCAGAUUGAGAUUUGAGCUAGGAGAGCCCAGAGCUGCACCCUGCCACAGCCUGGCUCAGCACAGCUCUGGAGGCACAGGCUGGUCUAAUGCACUUUAUUACUGCUCUUUAUUAUCAGGCUCCACUAAUGAAUUCCACUAAUGUGCAAAACCCUGCAUGACAAAGCAGCCCUUGAUCUUCUUCCACGCCCUUGCUUCCAAGCCCUGUAAGGCUUCCUGCUCUAGCUGAGGAGUUCCACUUGGGACAGGCAGCACAGCUCAGCAGAUGCCAAAGGUGUAUAAUCCUGAAGUGAGCUAACUGAGCCUGGGUGCUUCCUCUCCCGGGGUCUCACUGCUGGUUCUUGCACAGGGAGGACACCUGGGUUUUCACCAGGCCAGGAGCUAUCUUGCAUUUUGGCCUGGAGCUGGUUUAAAUCACGUUCCCUGGCAGUGGCUCCUGCUUUCCGAUCACAGGCAUUAAAAGCUUGCCCCCUGGGUUGGGACAAAGAGGGCAAUUGCUAUUUAAUGAAUGGAGCUGGGCAUAUCAUCCAUGGUCCUGCAGCCAUCAUUCCUCAAACACAAAGGUUCUGCCACCCUUCCUUCCCGAGGCAUGGGAUCCUCAUGGAGCAGGGCUGCAAGCUUUGGUAAUAAACUGACCCUGCAGAGAAGAGAAGGAAGGAGAGAGCUCCUGCUGCCCUUGGCAUGGUGCAGGCAGCCCAGGGCAAUUAUCACAAUGAGACAUCAUUGUUUUUUCAUUCUGAGUGCUAAGCUAUAUAAACAGAAUAAAAUAUCAUGCAGAGGACUGCUUACAUAUUGCCUGUGACUUUUGUAUAUCUUAAUUUAAGAGUUUACAAAUUAUAGUCCUUCUGCCUAGCCAGCAGCUAUUGAGCUCCCAGAAGGAAGCUCUUUGGCCACUUCUGUUUGUACUGUCCAAAUGUCUGUAGAAGAAAUACCCUGGGAAGAGAACCUGUCACAUUGUCCAUCACUGCAUACAGUGGGCUCUUACCUCUUGCUGUGCCUUUGGAGACCACUUUGUUCUCCUAUUCCUUUCCUUUAACUGGCUCUGUCUUUACUCAUUGGAGGCCUUGUACUUAGACAAGAUCCAAAUUUUGCAUAAUAAAAGGGCUCCCUAAUAGCUGGCAGUGCAUCCUGCUGUUCCCUAUGUCCCGUUGUUGAAGAUUAAACAGAUGUAAAAUUAGGAGCUGAAUCUCUCUGCAUUUGGGGGUCCUUGUCCAUAGCUGGAGAUGAGAGAUUAAGAUGUGACCUUUUCCCAGGAAAAGCAAUUUAAGAGAUAAAGAAAUUAUAAUCCUUAACAAACCUUUCUCCAAAGAAUUUCGCUUUAAAUCCCACUGGCCAUGUACAUUUUUGCUCACAGCUUUCUUUGCUUCUCUUGACUGCACACUCCAGUGAAAUCCCACAUCCUUUACCAGAAAUGCUUUUGAAUGCUCCAUCCCCACCUACUCUUUUGGACCCCUAAGGGAGACAAAUAAACAGAAGGGAAGGUUUACUGCAAGCAGAAAAGAAGUCAACAAUUUCCCUUCACAACAGGAGACUUCACACAACUCAGCAUCUGCAGGCCUUCGUGCUGUAUUGCCCUGAGCAACUCAUGUUCCAGGGCAUGGUUUCCAGGCAGAACCAAGUCCCAGUCCAUACCAAUGCACACUAAUAUCUUCUUGGCAUGCCCUACUCCAUCUCUUUAGAACAGGCUCACAAUUGCUUGGCUUCAUCUUAGGGUGGUAAUCACAUAAAAAAGCCAGAAAAAGUAAUCACAUAAAAAAGUAGAAAGUGAGUUUAAUUUGUCUCCUGGCCUAGCAGCAGACUCUUUUCGGCAAAUGGUCAGAACUUGUGUUUAAAAGCUCAUUGCAAAAAACAGUAUCCAUGGCUGAUUGAGGUCUCAGUGUUGGGAAACCUUGAGAUCUGUAAGUGGAGAAGGAGCCCCAUUAAUUCCUGUCUAGACUGGCUUCUGAGCCCAGGUUCCAGAGAUGAAAGGACACUUUAUUAAGACAGGACAUAAAUCCACCCUGCCAACAAGUCCGCACUCCUCUGGAUUAUUUACACCUCUCUCCCUCCCUCUGGUCA
This is a long non-coding RNA of Haemorhous mexicanus (house finch), 2933 nucleotides long. RefSeq lists it as uncharacterized. The transcript is spliced from 3 exons. NCBI's taxonomy places the organism in Eukaryota, Metazoa, Chordata, Aves, Passeriformes, Fringillidae. The record is from RefSeq and is a predicted model, not a curated record.